This 497-nucleotide ribosomal RNA is filed under the name uncultured bacterium. RNAcentral's name for it is "partial 16S ribosomal RNA". It matches the Rfam family "Bacterial small subunit ribosomal RNA", at positions 28 to 507 of the family's 1533-position model. The record is from RNAcentral.
GAUGAACGCUGGCGGCGUGCCUAACACAUGCAAGUCGAGCGGAAGGACGAGACUUUCGCUUGGAUGCUGUGUGGGGCGGGUGGGUGAGUCACAUGUGGAUACCUUCCCUUUAUGACUGAGAUCCCUACGCGAACGCGAAUACCACAUAGGACCAUAUUGUGAAGGGUGGGGUUCUUAAGAGCUCAAUCGGUUUGAUGUGACUUAGUGGUGUAUCCGCGUUGCAUUAGCUAGUUGGUAGGGUAACGGCUUACCGAGGCGACGAUGCGUGGCCGGCCUGAGAGGGUGAUCAGCCACACUGGAACUGAGACACGGUCCAGACUCCUACGGGAGGCAGCAGUGGGGAAUAUUGCACAAUGGGCGAAAGCCUGACGAAGCAACGCCGCGUGAGUGAAGAAGGUCUUCGGAUCGUAAAGCACUUUAAGUUGGGAAGAACCUCUGUAUGUGAACCUGUUGCUGUCUUGACGGUACCUAAAGAAAAAGCAACGGCUAACUACGUG